This 309-nucleotide ribosomal RNA is filed under the name Triticum aestivum (bread wheat). RNAcentral's name for it is "partial small subunit ribosomal RNA". The record is from RNAcentral. Lineage: Eukaryota; Viridiplantae; Streptophyta; Magnoliopsida; Poales; Poaceae.
AUGGUUCAUGUUUGGUACAUAAAACAGUUUGUUUGUCGGGUAUUCGGAUUCAACAUACAAGGAGCUCUUUUGUUUUUUGCCACUGGUUCAAGCUACCUUCUCCUUUCCACCAUCAGCAAAAUGUACUUAUUUAUCUUGCUUCUGUUCCUUCAACACCCUGUUCUCUUUUGCCGUCCCGUCUGGGAUUUUUUUUUCAAAGAAACCUUAUUCUCUUACGAGACUGACAAUGAUCUUUUGGGGCCAAAACUAGCGUUGAGACAGUCAAAGCUAGUUGACCUGAUGAAAAUGACAAAAGAAGUUGUAUUUUAA